GAUGAACGCUGGCGGCGUGCUUAACACAUGCAAGUCGAACGAGAAAUGGAGACGGAAACCUUCGGGUGGAAGCCUUCAUUUCGAGUGGCGGACGGGUGAGUAACGCGUGGGUAACCUGCCUCAUACAGGGGGAUAACAGUUGGAAACGACUGUUAAUACCGCAUAAGACCACAGCACCGCAUGGUGCGGGGGUAAAAACUCCGGUGGUAUGAGAUGGACCCGCGUUCGAUUAGCCAGUUGGCGGGGUAACGGCCCACCAAAGCGACGAUCGAUAGCCGAUCUGAGAGGAUGACCGGCCACAUUGGGACUGAGACACGGCCCAAACUCCUACGGGAGGCAGCAGUGGGGAAUAUUGCACAAUGGGGGAAACCCUGAUGCAGCGACGCCGCGUGAGUGAAGAAGUAUUUCGGUAUGUAAAGCUCUAUCAGCAGGGAAGAAAAUGACGGUACCUGAGUAAGAAGCCCCGGCUAACUACGUGCCAGCAGCCGCGGUAAUACGUAGGGGGCAAGCGUUAUCCGGAUUUACUGGGUGUAAAGGGAGCGCAGACGGCUCUGCAAGUCUGAAGUGAAAGCCCGCGGCUUAACCGCGGGACUGCUUUGGAAACUGCAAGGCUUGAGUAUCGGAGGGGCAGGCGGAAUUCCUAGUGUAGCGGUGAAAUGCGUAGAUAUUAGGAAGAACACCGGUGGCGAAGGCGGCCUGCUGGACGAAAACUGACGUUGAGGCUCGAAGGCGUGGGGAGCAAACAGG
This 747-nucleotide ribosomal RNA is filed under the name uncultured Moryella sp. Its description in RNAcentral is "bacterial SSU rRNA". It matches the Rfam family "Bacterial small subunit ribosomal RNA", at positions 28 to 776 of the family's 1533-position model. The record is from RNAcentral. Lineage: Bacteria; Bacillati; Bacillota; Clostridia; Lachnospirales; Lachnospiraceae.